Molecule: transfer RNA, 73 nt
Filed under: Pteropus alecto (black flying fox)
Lineage: Eukaryota; Metazoa; Chordata; Mammalia; Chiroptera; Pteropodidae
Rfam family: tRNA
About the family: Transfer RNA (tRNA) molecules are approximately 80 nucleotides in length.
Source: Rfam by way of RNAcentral
GGUUCCAUAGUGUAGCGGUUAGCACAUCUGCUUUACACGCAGAAGGGCUUGAGUUGUCACCCCAGUGGAGCCA